UACGUAGGGUGCAGGCGUUAAUCGGAAUUACUGGGCGUAAAGCGUGCGCAGGCGGUUUCUUAAGUCAGAUGUGAAAGCCCCGGGCUUAACCUGGGAACUGCGUUUGAAACUGGGAGACUUGAGUGUGGCAGAGGGGGAUGGAAUCCGCGUGUAGCAGUGAAAUGCGUAGAUAUGCGGAGGAACACCGAUGGCGAAGGCAAUCCCCUGGGCCUGCACUGACGCUCAUGCACGAAAGCGUGGGGAGCAAACAGG
This 252-nucleotide ribosomal RNA is filed under the name uncultured bacterium. RNAcentral describes it as "partial 16S ribosomal RNA". It matches the Rfam family "Bacterial small subunit ribosomal RNA", at positions 524 to 776 of the family's 1533-position model. The record is from RNAcentral.